GCCGAGAUAGCUCAGAUGGUAGAGCAUGGGACUGAAAAUCCCCGUGUCACCAGUUCAAUCCUGGUUCUCGGCA
Molecule: non-coding RNA, 73 nt
Organism: Klebsormidium nitens
Lineage: Eukaryota; Viridiplantae; Streptophyta; Klebsormidiophyceae; Klebsormidiales; Klebsormidiaceae
Source: Rfam